Molecule: long non-coding RNA, 289 nt
Filed under: Camarhynchus parvulus
Lineage: Eukaryota; Metazoa; Chordata; Aves; Passeriformes; Thraupidae
Description: lncRNA (ENSCPVG00000017816.1)
Source: RNAcentral
GCCGGCACCGCCCGCGGGCCAGCAGGGUGCGUUGCGCCGCGCGGUGUCUGAGGCGGCGGCUCCGCUCCGCGCCCGCCGCGCCCGCUCCCGCCGGUACCGGAGAUUUGUCCUUUCCACCCUGCAUUGAGUGCCAGAGGAGCUGGGGACACCUGCCCAGGAGCAGUCGAGGAAUCCAGAAAAAAAAAUCAAGGAAUCCACCCAGAGAACGAGGCUGCUCUGCAGUAGGAAGGUGAGCAGAGACCUCUUGAUUUGUCUCAUUAUUGAUUAAUUUCCACUUAAUUGGUUCAUU